This is a long non-coding RNA of Lagenorhynchus albirostris (white-beaked dolphin), 2535 nucleotides long. RefSeq lists it as uncharacterized. The record is from RefSeq and is a predicted model, not a curated record. Lineage: Eukaryota; Metazoa; Chordata; Mammalia; Artiodactyla; Delphinidae. The transcript has 3 exons.
CUGACUACUCCACCCUUCCCAGCGGUUAUCGGCAGCAAACACAGAUGUGGAUUAAUAUGUAGGGAAACAAGAAAAAUCUCAAAUAAACAACCUAAACCUACACCUAAAGCAACUAAGGAAAGAAGAACAAACAAAACCCAAAGUUAGUAGAAGCCUUCUCAUCACCUUUGAGCAUAUUUUUUAUGAUCUUCAACACAUUUUCAACAAGUGCUUAUCCUGCGCCAGAUCUUGGGAAUGGUUAACAAACGCCUGCUGUGUCAUGUAUGCUGUGUCACAGCACAAAUGUAUGCUGUGUCAUGGGAAUCGUGUCCCUCUGAGGCCGGUAUUAUUCCCUCCGUUUUACUGACAGGGAAAUGAGGUUCAGAGAGGUUAGCUAAAUAGCAUAAGUUUACACUGUACAUCAGGAUGUUGGCAUUUGAACUCAGUUCUGCUUUACUCAAAGCCAUGGUCAAUUCCACUCUGGGAUCUGGCAUCUCAGUUUGAGCCCUCAGAGACUCAAUUCAUGUACCAUUCUUUCAGCACGUCAUCCCUUCCACACCUUGGGUUACUGGUUCUUCUUAGAAUCAUACCUUGUCUCCCUCCCUUUCCUAACCUACCAUGACUACAAGCUUCUCACUGACCCAAAUCACCAUCGGGGGCUUCCCUGGUGGCGCAGUGGUUGAGAGUCCGCCUGCCGAUGCAGGGGACACGGGUUCGUGCCCCGGUCCGGGAAGAUCCCACAUGCCGCGGAGCGGCUGGGCCCGUGAGCCAUGGCCGCUGAGCCUGCGCGUCCGGAGCCUGUGCUCCACAACGGGAGAGGCCGCAACAGCGAGAGACCCGCGUACCGCAAAAAAAAGAAAAAAAAAAAAAAUCACCAUCGGUUCAGAAAGUACUUUGAUUCAGUGCCGCUUACAUCCCUGGUCUGCGAACUGCUUGUGACGGGUCCACAAAGAUAAGGCACUUGGGCCAGAAUGUAAAUCAACGAUGUCACUAGGCACACUUUUUAGUUCAACUGACACUUUCAAAAAUUUUUCCUAAAGCAAGACUUUCUUGAAGUAAGAACUGCCUUGGGUUUACUUUCUGGCACUAGUUCCUUAUCUCAUAGCAGAUCAGUAAAAACGGUGGGAAGAUGGACGUUGAUCCAGAAGUUGGCCCUGGUCCAAGGACAACAGUUUGAGUAAUGCUGCUUAGGUUAAGAUCACGUCUCCUUUUCCCUCGCCGCUGUCAACUUUGGAUUAUUGCAACAGUGCCAGGUGGUCUCCUGUUGUUUCCAAAUCUGUUUGUGACACUUGCCUACUUAAAACCCUUCAGUGGUUCCCACCGUCUCCUGAUAAAGUCCGAACUUCACUCCAAAGGUUCUUUGUGACCUGCCUCGGAGUGCCCUCACCAGGUUUCUCUCUCUCUCUCCCUUGCUCCCUGGACUCUUGCUUUACUGGAUGGUCUGUAGUUCCCCAAGAUGGGCCGUGUGCUUACCUCACAAUUUUGUCAAUGUUGCUCUGUCUGCCCCUGUUGCCCUCCCUUCCCUUCUUUCCCCUGUCACCCAGGCACAUGUGUGACAAUAGCCACAAGGAACUUCAAAGAGAAUGUGGGAAUAGGGGUGGUAUUGGAGAGAUUUUGUUUCAACUUUAAGAUUUGAAUAGGUGGAGAGGGACAGGGAAGGCAGGCAAUGCUGGGCAUAUGCAGGCUGGAUUAAGGAGACAUUCUAGAAUGCUGUCGUCAAACAGAAGGUGAUAAUUGCCUGAGAGUUGGGCAAGGAAAUUUAGGAAAUGGAGCAGAGAUAGGGCCUCCAGAAAAACUAGAUCCUCACUGUGGAUACCUCACAGGAAGAGGGAUUAGAUUUUGUAAAAAGGUAAUGCUACGUGGUGAACAAAGACAGUUCCUACAGAGAAACUCCCCUGGGGUGCUGUGAAAGUGGCCAAACAGCUCAGAAGGAGGACUUCUCAUCUUUGGCUGUCAAAGUACUCAUAACUCUGAAAGGCCUUAAAGCAAGGAAUGGCUACUGGCAGCCAGAGGAAUGGUGAUGUGCUUGGCCAGCUGGUAGAGGAAGCAGUUAGACUGUACACAGUCCCUCCUCCCACACACCCGGAAGGUGGCAGCUGUGGAUGGAGGAUUCAGGGGCUGAAGAGACCUGGCUUCUCUCCCUCAGCCAGGGCACACAGGGCAGGCAGGGCAGGCAAGGGCCACAGUUUCUCCCUGGCCUCUCUUAGCCUCUGAUAAGCAAAACCUUCAUUGGGAGGAGAUCAUUCCCCCUUUUCACUGACUCUGAGUGAAAUGUGUGUCCUGUUCCCACUUCCAGGAGGCUAAGAUUUAUGAAAAUCUGCAAAUUGCUUCCUUUAAGAAAACGUUAUAUAAAAGGAUUAGCUUCGUAGCAGGUGUUUUAGUCUGAUGCUGGUUCUAGAAAGACAUGAAUAGGAGUUUGCCCAUUUUAUGUUAUCCAAACGCUCCUUAAAGAUUAACCGUAUGCUAACACAUAUAUAUGGAAUUUAAGAAAAAAAAAUGUCAUGAAGAACCUAGGGGUAAGACAGGAAUAAAGACACAGACCUACUAGAGAAUGGA